CAGACUACCUCAAGACGUGUUGCUGAUAGGAAAAUUGCAGUAUUUGAGAAGAAUAUCACUAAGAGGGGUUCUGUUCCCGAGACAGUCAAGAAGGGAAAUGAUUAUCCUGUUGGACCUAUCGUGCUUGGAUUUUUCGUCUUCGUUGUUGUUGGGUCAUCUCUGUUCCAGAUCAUCAGGACAGCCUCAAACGCCGGUCUCUUCUGA
Molecule: ribosomal RNA, 204 nt
Filed under: Triticum aestivum (bread wheat)
Lineage: Eukaryota; Viridiplantae; Streptophyta; Magnoliopsida; Poales; Poaceae
Description: partial small subunit ribosomal RNA
Source: RNAcentral